AAGCGACAAUGAACCCGGUUUAUAACUCUUUCGAUUAUUCUGUAACCUACUAUUAAAUCCUAUUUUUCUUAAUUUUAUUUACUGCAUUUCAGCUUCCCGAGGUUAAGCUAUGUGUCAUUUGGGAAAAAUUUAAAUGGACACUUAUUUUUUAACAACCACACACAAACACUAAACUAGUAAACAAAAUUGAGGAGUGUCAAAUUAUGAGCCAAAAUUCUCUAAUCAGGAUAAACCGCUGCCAUGUAGUUUAGGUUUUUUUGUAAUACCUAAAAUUUGUACAUACCUGGCUUCUACCCCAGUUUUGUCAGAGGGUUUUAGGGUCGUAACUUUUUUUCUUAAAGCCGCAAAACUGGAGAAGAAAAAGAAUUUAAAUUGUUACUUAAUAAAAUUUUAUUUUUAAAGUA
This 404-nucleotide ribosomal RNA is filed under the name Cyclops sp. X MK-2016. RNAcentral's name for it is "partial 12S ribosomal RNA". Lineage: Eukaryota; Metazoa; Arthropoda; Copepoda; Cyclopoida; Cyclopidae. The record is from RNAcentral.